GGACGGGUGAGUAACGCGUGAGUAACCUGCCUUCAAGAGGGGGAUAACAUUCUGAAAAGAAUGCUAAUACCGCAUGAUAUAUCGGAACCACAUGGUUCUGAUAUCAAAGAUUUUAUCGCUUGAAGAUGGACUCGCGUCCGAUUAGUUAGUUGGUGAGGUAACGGCUCACCAAGACCGCGAUCGGGAGCCGGACUGAGAGGUUGAACGGCCACAUUGGGACUGAGACACGGCCCAGACUCCUACGGGAGGCAGCAGUGGGGGAUAUUGCGCAAUGGGGGCAACCCUGACGCAGCAACGCCGCGUGAAGGAUGAAGGUUUUCGGAUUGUAAACUUCUUUUAUUAAGGACGAAAAUUGACGGUACUUAAUGAAUAAGCUCCGGCUAACUACGUGCCAGCAGCCGCGGUAAUACGUAGGGAGCAAGCGUUGUCCGGAUUUACUGGGUGUAAAGGGUGCGUAGGCGGCUUUGCAAGUCAGAUGUGAAAUCUAUGGGCUCAACCCAUAAACUGCAUUUGAAACUGUAGAGCUUGAGUGAAGUAGAGGCAGGCGGAAUUCCCCGUGCAGCGGUGAAAUGCGUA
This 576-nucleotide ribosomal RNA is filed under the name uncultured bacterium. RNAcentral describes it as "bacterial SSU rRNA". It matches the Rfam family "Bacterial small subunit ribosomal RNA", at positions 100 to 692 of the family's 1533-position model. The record is from RNAcentral.